RNAcentral lists this ribosomal RNA (459 nucleotides) under uncultured bacterium. RNAcentral describes it as "partial 16S ribosomal RNA". It matches the Rfam family "Bacterial small subunit ribosomal RNA", at positions 338 to 795 of the family's 1533-position model. The record is from RNAcentral.
CCUACGGGUGGCAGCAGUGAGGAAUAUUGGUCAAUGGCCGAGAGGCUGAACCAGCCAAGUCGCGUGAGGGAAGACUGCCCUACGGGUUGUAAACCUCUUUUGUCGGGGAGCAAAGCGAACCACGUGUGGUUCAUUGAGAGUACCCGCAGAAAAAGCAUCGGCUAACUCCGUGCCAGCCGCCGCGGUAAUACGGAGGAUGCGAGCGUUAUCCGGAGUUAUUGGGGUUAAAGGGUGCGCAGGCGGAGGUGCAAGUCAGCGGUCAAACUGCGGGGCUCAACCCCGUACUGCCGUUGAAACUGCAUCCCUUGAGUGCGCGAGAAGUAUGCGGAAUGCGUGGUGUAGCGGUGAAAUGCAUAGAUAUCACGCAGAACUCCGAUUGCGAAGGCAGCAUACCGGCGCGCAACUGACGCUCAUGCACGAAAGCGUGGGUAUCGAACAGGAUUAGAUACCCGAGUAGUC